This 73-nucleotide transfer RNA is filed under the name Escherichia coli 2-460-02_S1_C2. RNAcentral's name for it is "tRNA-Gln". It matches the Rfam family "tRNA". Rfam says of the family: Transfer RNA (tRNA) molecules are approximately 80 nucleotides in length. Their secondary structure includes four short double-helical elements and three loops (D, anti-codon, and T loops). Lineage: Bacteria; Pseudomonadati; Pseudomonadota; Gammaproteobacteria; Enterobacterales; Enterobacteriaceae. The record is from RNAcentral.
GGGUAUCGCCAAGCGGUAAGGCACCGGAUUCUGAUUCCGGCAUUCACAGGUUCGAAUCCCGUCGUAGCCACCA